RNAcentral lists this ribosomal RNA (246 nucleotides) under uncultured bacterium. RNAcentral's name for it is "partial 16S ribosomal RNA". It matches the Rfam family "Bacterial small subunit ribosomal RNA", at positions 92 to 339 of the family's 1533-position model. The record is from RNAcentral.
CUAGUGGCGAACGGGUGAGUAACACGUGAGAAACCUGCCCUGGAGUGGGGAAUAACUCGGGGAAACCCGAGCUAAUACCGCAUACCCUCAGAUGGUCGCAUGGCCGACUGAGGAAAGAAUUUCGCUCUAGGAGGGUCUCGCGGCCUAUCAGCUAGUUGGUGGGGUAAUGGCCUACCAAGGCAGCGACGGGUAGCUGGUUUGAGAGAACGAUCAGCCACACUGGGACUGAGACACGGCCCAGACUCC